Molecule: ribosomal RNA, 496 nt
Filed under: uncultured bacterium
Lineage: Bacteria
Description: partial 16S ribosomal RNA
Rfam family: Bacterial small subunit ribosomal RNA
Source: RNAcentral
AUUGAACGCUGGCGGAAUGCUUUACACAUGCAAGUCGAACGGUAGAGGGGGCAACCCCUCGAGAGUGGCGAACGGGUGAGUAAUAUAUCGGAACGUGCCCAGUCGUGGGGGAUAACGUAGCGAAAGUUACGCUAAUACCGCAUACGAUCUAAGGAUGAAAGCGGGGGAUCGCAAGACCUCGCCCGAUUGGAGCGGCCGAUAUCAGAUUAGGUAGUUGGUGGGGUAAAGGCUCACAAAGCCAACGAUCUGUAGCUGGUCUGAGAGGACGACCAGCCACACUGGAACUGAGACACGGUCCAGACUCCUACGGGAGGCAGCAGUGGGGAAUUUUGGACAAUGGACGCAAGUCUGAUCCAGCCAUUCCGCGUGCAGGAUGAAGGCCCUCGGGUUGUAAACUGCUUUUGUACGGAACGAAAAGGUCUCUCUUAAUACGGGGGACUCAUGACGGUACCGUAAGAAUAAGCACCGGCUAACUACGUGCCAGCCGCCGCAGUAA